AUGCUGCAGGCGGGCUCGGAGCGGGCGGCCCCGCUCCCGGGCGCGGCGAGGCUGUGGGUGCCGGGGAUGAGCCCCGUGGCGGCGGACGGGGCGUCGGCCAGGGCGCGGGAGAUCGCGCGGAGGCGGGAGGAGAUGCUCGGCAUGCUGCGCGACCUCCCCGAGGCCGAGUACGAGCUCUCCCUCACCGACCUCGUCGACAAGACCGCCGCGGCCGGGGCCAACGGCUGUGUGGGCGUGGCGCCGCUACCGGCCGAGAGGAAGGAGGCGAGCCCGAGCCCGAGCCCCUUGGGUCUGGCCGAGCGGUCCGCGUCCAGCGGGCAGGCCGAGCCGCAGCAGCCGGCGAGGGCGACGGAGAAGCGGGGCUCCGCGAGGCGGCGCGGGGAUGGCGGCAGCGGGAGCGGCCUCCGCAGCAGCAGCGACGGCGUCCUGCUCAACUUCUACAUGCCGCGCUCCUUCACGCGCAGCUUCACCGCGCCGCGCCCCGCCCGCACGCCCUCCUUCUCCAACUCCGGCCGGGCCGCCAGCGCCGUCGCCCCCGACGACUGCAACAAGAGGGAGAGAGACGGCGACACGGUCAGGUGCUGGCCGCUGCCGUGGGACCGGCGGUGGCGCAAGUCGAGCCGGCAGCGGCAAGACCCGGCCUCCGCAACGUCCGGCGAGCUGUCGGCGAUGCUGGCGGCGGCGGACCACUCUGCUCCCGCGGACAAAGUCUGA
Molecule: ribosomal RNA, 714 nt
Filed under: Triticum aestivum (bread wheat)
Lineage: Eukaryota; Viridiplantae; Streptophyta; Magnoliopsida; Poales; Poaceae
Description: partial small subunit ribosomal RNA
Source: RNAcentral